GACGAACUGUCCAAACGUUGUUCGGAAUCACUGGGCUUAAAGGGUGCGUAGGCGGUCUGGUAAGUCGGGGGUGAAAUCCUGCAGCUCAACUGCAGAAGUGCCUUCGAUACUGCCAGUCUGGAGGGAGAUAGGGGUGUGCGGAACUUCCAGUGGAGCGGUGAAAUGCGUUGAUAUUGGAAGGAACGCCGGAGGCGAAAGCGGCGCACUGGAUCUCUUCUGACGCUGAGGCACGAAAGCUAGGGGAGCAAACGGG
Molecule: ribosomal RNA, 253 nt
Filed under: uncultured bacterium
Lineage: Bacteria
Description: partial 16S ribosomal RNA
Rfam family: Bacterial small subunit ribosomal RNA
Source: RNAcentral